UACGAAGGGGGGCUAGCGUUGCUCGGAAUCACUGGGCGUAAAGCGCACGUAGGCGGAUCUUUAAGUCAGGGGUGAAAUCCCAAGGCUCAACCUUGGAACUGCCUUUGAUACUGGGGAUCUCGAGUCCGGAAGAGGUUGGUGGAACAGCUAGUGUAGAGGUGAAAUUCGUAGAUAUUAGCUAGAACACCAGUGGCGAAGGCGGCCAACUGGUCCGGUACUGACGCUGAGGUGGCGAAA
This 237-nucleotide ribosomal RNA is filed under the name uncultured bacterium. RNAcentral's name for it is "partial 16S ribosomal RNA". It matches the Rfam family "Bacterial small subunit ribosomal RNA", at positions 524 to 758 of the family's 1533-position model. The record is from RNAcentral.